This 1343-nucleotide ribosomal RNA is filed under the name uncultured bacterium. RNAcentral describes it as "16S ribosomal RNA". It matches the Rfam family "Bacterial small subunit ribosomal RNA", at positions 28 to 1378 of the family's 1533-position model. The record is from RNAcentral.
GACGAACGCUGGCGGCGUGCUUAACACAUGCAAGUCGAACGGAAAGGCCCUGCUUUUGUGGGGUGCUCGAGUGGCGAACGGGUGAGUAACACGUGAGUAACCUGCCCUUGACUUUGGGAUAACUUCAGGAAACUGGGGCUAAUACCGGAUAGGAGCUCCUGCUGCAUGGUGGGGGUUGGAAAGUUUCGGCGGUUGGGGAUGGACUCGCGGCUUAUCAGCUUGUUGGUGGGGUAGUGGCUUACCAAGGCUUUGACGGGUAGCCGGCCUGAGAGGGUGACCGGCCACAUUGGGACUGAGAUACGGCCCAGACUCCUACGGGAGGCAGCAGUGGGGAAUAUUGCACAAUGGGCGGAAGCCUGAUGCACCAACUCCGCGUGCGGGAUGACGGCCUUCGGGUUGUAAACCGCUUUCGCCUGUGACGAAGCGUGAGUGACGGUAAUGGGUAAAGAAGCACCGGCUAACUACGUGCCAGCAGCCGCGGUGAUACGUAGGGUGCGAGCGUUGUCCGGAUUUAUUGGGCGUAAAGGGCUCGUAGGUGGUUGAUCGCGUCGGAAGUGUAAUCUUGGGGCUUAACCCUGAGCGUGCUUUCGAUACGGGUUGACUUGAGGAAGGUAGGGGAGAAUGGAAUUCCUGGUGGAGCGGUGGAAUGCGCAGAUAUCAGGAGGAACACCAGUGGCGAAGGCGGUUCUCUGGGCCUUUCCUGACGCUGAGGAGCGAAAGCGUGGGGAGCGAACAGGCUUAGAUACCCUGGUAGUCCACGCUGUAAACGGUGGGUACUAGGUGUGGGGUCCAUUCCACGGGUUCCGUGCCGUAGCUAACGCUUUAAGUACCCCGCCUGGGGAGUACGGCCGCAAGGCUAAAACUCAAAGGAAUUGACGGGGCCCCGCACAAGCGGCGGAGCAUGCGGAUUAAUUCGAUGCAACGCGUAGAACCUUACCUGGGUUUGACAUGGAUCGGGAGCGCUCAGAGAUGGGUGUGCCUCUUUUGGGGUCGGUUCACAGGUGGUGCAUGGCUGUCGUCAGCUCGUGUCGUGAGAUGUUGGGUUAAGUCCCGCAACGAGCGCAACCCUUGUUCACUGUUGCCAGCACGUUAUGGUGGGGACUCAGUGGAGACCGCCGGGGUCAACUCGGAGGAAGGUGGGGAUGACGUCAAGUCAUCAUGCCCCUUAUGUCCAGGGCUUCACGCAUGCUACAAUGGCUGGUACAGAGAGUGGCGAGCCUGUGAGGGUGAGCGAAUCUCGGAAAGCCGGUCUCAGUUCGGAUUGGGGUCUGCAACUCGACCUCAUGAAGUCGGAGUCGCUAGUAAUCGCAGAUCAGCAACGCUGCGGUGAAUACGUUCCCGGG